Molecule: ribosomal RNA, 390 nt
Filed under: uncultured bacterium
Lineage: Bacteria
Description: bacterial SSU rRNA
Rfam family: Bacterial small subunit ribosomal RNA
Source: RNAcentral
AUUGAACGCUGGCGGCAUGCCUUACACAUGCAAGUCGAACGGCAGCGGACCUUCGGGUGCCGGCGAGUGGCGAACGGGUGAGUAAUAUAUCGGAACGUACCUUUCAGUGGGGGAUAACGUAGCGAAAGUUACGCUAAUACCGCAUAUUCUGUGAGCAGGAAAGCAGGGGAUCGCAAGACCUUGCGCUGAUUGAGCGGCCGAUAUCAGAUUAGCUAGUUGGUGAGGUAAAGGCUCACCAAGGCGACGAUCUGUAGCGGGUCUGAGAGGAUGAUCCGCCACACUGGAACUGAGACACGGUCCAGACUCCUACGGGAGGCAGCAGUGGGGAAUUUUGGACAAUGGGCGCAAGCCUGAUCCAGCCAUGCCGCGUGAGUGAAGAAGGCCUGGUGU